GUGAAGAACGUAGCGAAAUGCGAUACUUGGUGUGAAUUGCAGAAUCCCGUGAACCAUCGAGUCUUUGAACGCAAGUUGCGCCCGAAGCCAUCAGGUUGAGGGCACGUCUGCCUGGGCGUCACAUAUCGUUGCCCAAUGCCUAUUGCAGUGCAAUAGGAAUUUCUAGGGCGAAUGAUGGCUUCCCGUGAGCGUUGUUGCCUCGCGGUUGGUUGAAAAUCGAGUCCUUGGUAGGGUGUGCCAUGGUAGAUGGUGGUCGAGUUAGAACGAUACCGAUCAUGUGCAUGCUCCCCAAAAUAUGGCCUCUAUGACCCACACGCGUCUUUUGACGCUCAUGACGAGACCUCAGGUCAGGCGGGGCUACCCGCUGAAUUUAAGCAUAUCAAUAGCGGAGGA
Molecule: unclassified non-coding RNA, 393 nt
Filed under: soil metagenome
Description: partial contains 5.8S ribosomal RNA, internal transcribed spacer 2, and large subunit ribosomal RNA
Rfam family: 5.8S ribosomal RNA (bases 2-121)
Source: RNAcentral